Molecule: non-coding RNA, 1227 nt
Organism: Lolium perenne
Lineage: Eukaryota; Viridiplantae; Streptophyta; Magnoliopsida; Poales; Poaceae
Source: RefSeq, a predicted model, not a curated record
UUCUUUUCUUGCAUUGUUAUCAUGUCAUCAUGUUGCAUUCAUGCAUAUCACCACCUUUGGCUUUUAUAAAAUUGCAUUUGGUUUUGGUUUUGUUUUUGUUUGCUUGCUUGGUCUUCUUCUACCUCUCUCUUGGUUCAUCCUCUCCCUCUUGUGAUGUUCCAAGAAAAGCUAACAAGCCAAACCUAUCUCUCUACUUGAUCUAUAUUUCAAAUAGGUCAUGCCAAAAUUCUUAUAUGGUUACUAUAAACCUAUCUCCACUCUCUUUCUAUUUUGCAAUGCUAAUAAGAUGAUCUUGAGUUGGGUUUCUUCCUUCUCCAAUUAUUUUGGUUUCUACUAAAUCUCUUUAUCUCCCUCUUAUUCUUUUCUUCUUUUAAUCUCAACCACCAUAGUUGGUAUACAAGGUUGAGUUUUCUCUGAUUUCAACUUCCUUUCAAAUAUUCAAAUAUUCUCUCCUCCAAUUUUCAGAAAAAGGUUUGGAAAGGAGAAAGAAAUAAAAACUGAAAACUGAAAAGAAAUAAAAGAAAAAGGAUAACUAAUCUAACCCAGCCCAUCUAACCUAACCCACGUAACUAGCCUAGCUAAUCCAAACCAGCAGCCCAGCCCAGCCCAGCUCACGUGAGAAGUUCCUGUAGGUCGUCUUCCUCCUGUACGAACCAGGCAAGGACCGCAUGAUCUUCUCUCCCUCUCCCGAUGCUUGCCACCUGCCCCUCUUCCUCUUCUUAAUGCACCAGGGCCGACCAACCCUAGCCGCACUUCCUCGCUCGCGCCGCUCCGCACCAUCCCCUCCUUUUUCUUCCACCUCUCUGUAUGUGUCCGAGAGGGUUUUUCCACGAGCCGCCAUCGACCGCUGCCGUCGCCAUGGACUGCCGCGCGCCUAGCUGAGUAGCAGAAAAGAACCGCCGCGUCUUCGUCGUCGUCCUCAUCUACUUCACGGAGCGGGGGACGCCAAGUUCUGCUCGGAAUCAUCCGUGCCGUCGCCGUCUUCUUCCCGGUGUCCAACGACCGCCGUUUCGCUGCCUCCUCUUCGCCGCCGAAUCCUUCGUCCGGCAGCAGCACAACGCCGACGCAGAGCAGUACGAGCAGGAGUACGAGUUCCCCCUGGAGGAUCGUGUCGGUGCUUCUACCUCUGAUCUGACAGGCGAGCCCACCCCUUCACCUAUUUUACUUUUACAUGCUCUUUUGAUCUAUUGCUAUCCUUAUGUUGCGAUUCUGUUGUGUCACGUGUCC